AUGGAAACGAUGCGCUUUGAAAGUUCCAAAGAGAUUUUUUUUAAGCAUGCCUGUCAGGAAGCACAUAAAUACCACAAAAGGAAACCCAUUCGUCUCCAAACACGAUUUACCAAGGACCAGGGAGCCCUGAGCUUUUUCCCCUCACGCAGCGUCUCCGUGGCAGCUCCCGAGUUGCGCUCUCGGAGGCGGCAACCCCACUUUUCUUCCGUCUCCCAGUCACAGACGGGACAACGUGCAGCUGCCGCCACCGGCCAGGCCGCUGUCACCGCUGUCACCGCCGCCGCCGCUGCUUCUAAAUCAGAGCCGCUACUGCAAAGAAAGGGUUACUCCUCUCUCCAGUCAAGUGGCUGCAAACUUCCCCUGCUCUCCUUGUGCCAUAUUUCUGCAAACUUGGACGUCCUUCCGUGCGGAAGGACCACGGAAAGCCAUCACGAGCGUCACAGGGAGCAUAAUAAAGGGCACCCCGGAAGGCAAGGAAACUAAAAGGAGAUAGAAAGGAUGCAAAGGGGCAAAGGGGGUGAAGAAAAUGGAAGAUCUGCACCUGGGAGCAGGAAGGCACCCUGGUAGUAGAGGGUAGCAUGAUAAGAAGAUGGGAAACAGAGAGAGGAAGAAAGGUAUGAGAAUUCCUUUCCUUUCCUUUAUUUCUUUCCCUGAAUAUCAACAAUGGUCAGGAAACUCCUUCUUAAAACCCUGCUUAAGAUCUUUACUUAUGAAAAUUUGCCUAAGGGGCUGAGUUGUUUGUGCCAUCCCUAAUAGAACUAAGUAAAACAAAAGAGUGAAACCAGACCAAUAAUCCUCACCUCCACAAUCAAGAAAUUCACUCUUCUCACCUUUUUCAUAAAAGAUAUACUGAGUCAUGAUUUUGUUUGGUACAAAAAAUUUAAUCCAUUUAUUUUAAAUCUGUGGAUGCCCAUUGGCAAUUCACACAAACUCCUUGUCC
RNAcentral lists this long non-coding RNA (940 nucleotides) under Microcebus murinus (gray mouse lemur). RNAcentral's name for it is "lncRNA (ENSMICG00000048297.1)". The record is from RNAcentral. Lineage: Eukaryota; Metazoa; Chordata; Mammalia; Primates; Cheirogaleidae.